Long non-coding RNA from Callithrix jacchus (white-tufted-ear marmoset), 7248 nucleotides. RefSeq lists it as uncharacterized. The record is from RefSeq and is a predicted model, not a curated record. Lineage: Eukaryota; Metazoa; Chordata; Mammalia; Primates; Cebidae.
AUAAUGAACAUCUAUCUACAUGACUGAUAUUGAAUCAUUUCAUUUUUCACUAUCUUGAGACUUCCAUUAGCCAAAGCUCAUGCCAUUUUAAAAAUAAAAACUGACAGGGUAUUUGGCAUAGCUAGAGUCUUGCUCUGUUGCUCUGUAAAGAAGUAAAAGAAAGUGGUUAAGCUCUAUUAUGAAACUCAAAGCAAAGAGUUUUUGCUUCUUAGGAAAGAAUAUAAUAUGUUGCAUGUAAUUUUUACUCAGAAGAGUAUAACAUUAUUGACCGAGGAGAAUGUAAGUUUGACAUUUACUUACAUUACUCUAUUAUUCUGGCUAUUACUUCAUGAAUAGUCAAGUAUGGAAGGUGUAUUUUCAUUUAGAAAUCGAAUUUCUUUUUAUAGAAGAAACAGAUUUUUGUAGGACUUUAUAAUUUGAGACAUAUAAAAUAAAUAUACUAACUUUAUCAUUCAUUGAAACUUGUAGCUAUUCCUCAUAUAGAUCUAUACUUUAGAAUUUACACUGUGAAAACAACAUGGUAGAAGGGAAACAAAAUCAACAUUAUUUUUAUAGAUCUUUCUGAUAUUUCUUCUUGGAAAUCAGACUUUCUUGCUCUUGUAAUUGUUCAAUAAGUAUUAUUGUUUUCUUGUCAAAAGUUUUGCUUUAAGGGCCAAAUUAUUGUGUGGGUGUUAUACUCUGUUAGGUAAAGUUGUAGGAAUUAGCAUACUUUUGUUUUUGAAUGUUGUUGGGUUUACCUUUCACUCUCCCUUUCACUUCUUCCAUUGCUUACUCUUCUUCCUCCUCCUUCUCUAUGUCUUUAUUUCAUUUUGGAAACUAUGGAUGCUGCCAUUGCAUCAUAAAAUAUCAGCAAUAUAUGAAUAAGUUACUUGAUCUCAUGAGAAGUACUUUGGAUUUUAAGCUUUUGUAGAUUUUCUGAUAAUAACAAAAUACAAUGAUUAUCAAUCAUGUAAGUAAGAGUCAGUGUUUUCAGACAGAACAAUAUUGGAACAAAUUAAAGGAUUAGGCCUAUUACUGGGUUUUGAGACUACUGCAUCUUUUUGGUAUUUUGAUUCCAAUUAAGGAGAAUUGGGGGCUCAUGGACUUGUGAGCAUCAUGCAUAAUGAGGCAUAUUUGCUGUUUCUUAGUAUGCUUAUGAACUAAUUGGGUAGAUUCCUAUUAUAGCUACUGUAUUAGUCUGUUCUUGCAUUACUAUAAAGAAAUACCUGAGACUGGAUAAUGUGUAAAGAAAAGAAAUUUAAUUGGCUCAUGGUUCUGCAGGCUGUUCAAGAAGCAUGGCAGUGUCUGCUUCUGGGGAGGCCUCAGGGAGCUUUUACUCAUGGCAGAAGUCAAAACGGGAGCAGGUGUCUUACAUGGCAGAAACAGAAUCAAAAGGGUUAGGAAGGUGCUACACACCAAAAGGGUUAGGAGCUAACUCUCACAAUUGCAGCAAUGUCACCAAGGGGGAUGGUGCUAAGCCAUUAGAAACUGCCCCCAUGAUCCAGUCACCUCCCACCAGCCCCACCUUGAACAUUGGGGUUUACCUUUCAACAUGAGAUUUGGGUGGGAAGCAGAUCCAAACCAUACCAGCCACUUACUGCCUUUAUGCCAACUGGUAACAUAAGAGUUCUAAAGAUUGUAUUAAAAAUAACUUCUUAGAUUUCCUUCUCAUUUUCUAUAAUUUCCAUAGUAAAAUUAUCGGUUUUAGAAACUUCUAAAAAACAAAUUCCAAUUUGUAUCAGUUAUAUUUAUGAUGUCACUGCUCUAUUCUGUCAUAAUUGUUCAUUUUGAUCUCAGCUAAGAAUGGAAGCUGACUGUUUAAAGCUGAUUCAGUUAGUAUCAGAGUCAGCUGCCCUCUAAUGUAUCAUCAUUAGAAGCUUUAAGGUGGAAUAACGAUGGGCAGAUUGGGGGAAUUUAUUGCCCUCAGGCUGGAGUGCAAUGGCAUGAUCUUGGCUCACCGCAACUUCUGCUUACCAGGUUCAAGUGAUUCUCCUGCCUCAGCCUCCCAAGUAGCUGGGAUUACAGGCAUGCGCCACCAUGCAUGCCUGGCUAAUUUUGUAUUGGCUGGAGCUUUUAAAGAUACAGAUGGGCCAAGCUCACAAAUCUACAGGCCGGUGAUUUAGCCUGGGCAGCUCUUCAGGUCUCAGCAGGGCUCACUCCCAGGACUACAGGACAGCUGGCUGUUGGUUUGGGCCUCCUAGGACUGGAGGUUGGCUGGAGGGACUCAGUUCUGCUCCACAUAUCUCCCUCCAGCAGGCCAGCCCUGGCAUGUUCUCACCGUGAAGGCAGAGCUUCUAUUGGAGUACUUGCCUCCAGCUACUUUUUUUUUCCAAGCCUCCAACAUAGCCUUCCCAAGUCUACUUCACAGUUUCUCCACAAGAAUCCAGUCAUUUUCUAUGUAGUAGAGAGAUAGUCUUUUAGAUCCUCUUCUUGGCCAUAGGAAGUCACCAGAGUAGGGAAGGGAAGAAGAGGCGAUGAAGGCCAGCUCCUCUUGGUAAAGUGUGAGCACUACUGGAAAGUACCUACCACAGAGUAGGCAGGAGAGCAAUGUCAAGGGUGAGCAGUCCAGGCUCUAGAGAUAAGUAGACAUGGAUUCCAGUCUGGGCUUCUCCACUCACUGUGGGCAGGUUAUUUAUCCCCUAACCUCAGAUUCCUCAGAAAGGAAAUGAGUUGAUGCUAUUAGUACUGCCUUAAGGCCAUUUUGAAGGUCAGAUACACACAAAGAGCUUAGCACAGCAGCUGGCACACAAUAGGCACUCAAGGAAAUGAUGAUUGGGGUAUACUUAGGUGUAUACAUAAUGUAGGCUUUAAAAGGGAUCCCCUGGCCCAUGGCUUAUACUGCUGACAUCAGGACAAGAACAGGGACAAACAUUUCCCUGACUUCUCUUCACUUCCAGAAGUCCACUGGCAACUUGCCUCAGUCUCCUGUCCCCAUUAUUACCACACUCACUUAAAUCCUAGACCUGGACAUUGCGUUAUCCCCACGGCUGUGGAGCUCUCAGUUCCCUAGGCCGACUGGUUCCACAGGGACCAAGCCUAGAGGUACCCCUGCUAGUUUGUCAGUGGUCCCUAGUGGCCAGAUGUCCAAGGCCCUGGGCACUGAGUGCUCUGGAAGCCAUGGACCCUUGAAGCAAGGCCUGUGCUGGGCACUGCAGGAGACAGAAGCCAGGUCACUGCUUUCGGCUUUGGUCCUGUGGGGCCAGAUGCACCCAUGGCUCUUAGGCAGGAGCAGGAGGUUUCGGGCAAACUUCCAUGUGGCUGCUGGGCUUGAUUUCGCAGAGGGAGCACUCUGGCCAGGUGGGUGGGGCAGAGUGGGACCAGGGUGCCUUUGCUCAGGCUCCAACUGAGGCAGGUGGCCUGGCUGGCUGCUUGUAUCGCAGCAGCCUCUUUCCUCAGCAUCUCUGUGGUGGUGACAUCAGUGAUCCUGGUACCUGGGAUGAUGCCUGGCAGCCAGUUUGGGGUGAGGAGUGGCUUCCAGGAUGCAGGCGUGGAGUGCUCCAGCCAAAUGUCACCAUUGCCAUGGCCCCAUGUGCUCUGAGUGGCCUGGGCCGUCCUCAUAGAUGGCCUGUUAGUGCCCCUGGUGCCCCAGGCUCAGGCAGAGGGCCCAGUGCACAGGCACUCUAUCUCAUAGGGAAUUAAUGAAACAGCAACAAAAUAGACAAAUUAUUCCACUGGUUCUUUAUAUAGGUUCCUUCCACAGCUUUGGAGAGUGAGGGUGUCUCCUCAUCCUCAUUAACACAGGACAUCAUUCAUGUUGAAUAGUUUUGACAUUAUGUACACCAGGAAUGGGUUUAGUGAAUAGGGAGAUCCCCAGGAUAGCCAGGAUGGUUACAAAAAUGGCAAAGUUCGGAUGGUGUGCUUCACUUAUUAAUCUAGGACAGUCAGCAGCCACCAACCCGUUUUCUGUUUUAUGGGUGAACCCUGUGAUCCUAUAAAUAAGGUUGGUCACAAGUCCAGUGAGACCCUAGAGCCCCCUGUUGACUAACUCUUUUAUAGUAGAUAGCAAGGAGGAAAAUAGCUAUAAUUGGAGGCCCAAGAUAAUGGGCAAUUUAUUCUGUGUAAUAGAAGAGUGGCCCAUUUGGCGAUAUCUGUGCAAAUAGGACCCAUAUGAUGCAAAUGAGCCUCAUCUGGAUGAGAAAUAACCUAGAGAGUCCUCCUCAUCACUAUCCUUUCCAGAAUCCACUUGCUGUCCCUGGCAGCUGAUAAUAUAUUGUCAGUGCCUUCUUCAUUUUCAGAUCUGGUUUCCACAUGAUCCUUCCAGGUAGCUAGAGAGUCCUCCCCAUCACUUAUACUCUCCAGAAUCCACUCAGGGUCACAUGAAGUCAUUGACAUGUAGGAACAAUCUUCCUCAUUUCUGCUGAGAGAUCCUCAGGAGGAGCUGAUGAGUCUUUGUUGUUACAGCUGCUCUCAUAGAUGAUGUCCAGGGGCUAAUCAGACUCAUCGAUUCUUGAGGCUGCUAUGGUCUUUCAUGGGACCUUCUUCAAUGCCUAGUAAUGAGGAACCUGUUUCAAUAUAUCCUCAACAGGAAGGUUUUUGCUUGCUUUUGAGUCUACCGUGACCACAAAUGAAAUCUCCUCCUGUGACCUGUCACCUGGAGGCUCCUCCACCAGGUCUUCAGUGUGAGCUUCAGUGAAUUUUUUCCCAGGGUGUAUUCUGUUAUAUGACUAGAUGUGGAUUUUUUUUACCCACUGCUUGGGGUGGGCAGCAGAUCUGGACCACUAAAAACAUGUUCUCAUAUUCUCAAGGCAAAAUUCUGAAGAAAUCAUAAAACUAUACGCACUGUAAAAUGUUCUUUGCAGUGGCUCACAUCUGAUGCAGUCUUUUAACAUUAUCCACAAUGAGGAGGUAUUUCUGGAGGCUCACACCCUUUCAAUAACAGAGGCACAGUAUUCUGCUGGGUACAGAAGUCUUCAGCAGUAGGAGUUCUUGCACUCAUUUGUCUUCUGAGAGUGUUGUUGAAAAUUUGAAUAUGUCUUUUUGGCUCUCAAGGUCAGUGAGCUGUGAUCAGCUCCCAAGUGUUAAAGAACCCAUGGUUGCAGAAUUCCUGGGUAAGUUGAGUGUACCUUCAGUCUGUGGCUGGUUUUUAUUUGUGACUGCAGAAUUUCUUUCAUGGCAACCAGAGUUUUGGAAACUUCUGUAGCCUUUUCUGCUUUUUUGUUUUGGUUUGGUUUGGUUUUUGGUUAGAAAUGCCUUUCAUUUCUGGAACAGCAAUGCUCUCCAGGGCUUGCACAGGUCAUAAAAAUUCAUGGAAUCGUGUCGUUGCAGCAACAUGGUGGACUAUGUAAGAAAAAUACCCUGAAGAAGCAGUACAGAAGCUCCCUUCUCAGUAGUCAGGGACAGGGUCAGGGAUAGGAGCUGUUUUUUUCCCCAGAAUAGGUCCCCAAGUCAUCCCAAAGCUGCAUGGCACCCUCAGGCAGAUCCUGAGGAGGCCUACACAAGCUAUUUAUAAGUAUAUAGUGAUCACUAGGAUAAUUCAUAGAACUUUUGGGAAAGAAAUUUAAGACCUUUCUCCCACCAUUUCAGCAGGAUAAAUUCCAACUGGAUUAGAAAAUGAAAUGUUAAUAAUGCAAAUAAAUACAUAUUUAUAUCUGUAUAUAAAAUACAGUUGAUAUUUGACUGGUGGAUAAAGGACUUUCUAAGCAUAAAAGUAAAAAAAGUCAUAGAAAUGCUGUAGCAGUUUGAGACUCUUUAUGCAGGAAAGGGCAUCAAUAUGUGCAUAGAUGAAUCUGUAUCUAAUUUUAAACAAUUCCCAAAGUGCCUGUUUUCUUUUCUUUGAAUAUCACUGGAGAAAUAGUUCCUCUUGCUAUGUCUUUCUUUAGGCAAGAUUUUUUACUAAUUGAUGUGUAGUCUGAAUCCUGGCUAAAUAUAAACCUUUUCUUUUUUAUACCUGUUCUUAGUGAAAAUGAAACUGUGACUUUUUUUUAUUCCAUUGGUUGGUCAAAAACUACAAAGAACUCUUCUAAGUUUCUUCUCUGGCUGAACAAACAGUGGUCCCAUUGGCCUUUCUGGGAACUCCAGGCCCUCUCAAGAGCCUUCGUAUUUCAUUUCUUUUCAAAGCUCUCAAAAGGAAUAGCUUGCUUUUGACAUUGUACAUGUCAGUGGAAAGAUAAGGUCUACUUUGCAAAAAUGAAACAGUUAUGUUUCUAAUGAUUUGGAAAUAGAAAUCUGAUGUAGUUAUUGGAUAUUGGGAAAGAGGGUGACAAAAAAACCCAAAGCACUUAACAAUUCUGAUUAAUUCACUUAACCUCUAAUAAUGUAGUACACUAUACAUUUUCAUUAAUUUUGAUUGUAUUUAUGUGUAUCAUAGGAACAGUUGGGUUUCCUUGAGUGAUAAAUUAUUUAUUCACUUAUUCCACUUCAAGUCAGCUAAAUAAUUGUUUCCUUGGUUGAAAAAGUCUCACAGAUUGAUCGCUCAAGUUAUUUGGUUGGAUUGUUUAUGCUCAUUUAUUUAUUUAUUCUUAUUUCACCAAUGAAAAUAUCACUAAGUUCCUUGGUUUGUUGACCUGAUUGUACCUACUUUGACAAAUCACUCCCUUUCUGGACCCAGUUUUCUCAUUAAGUGGCAGUGAUACCUGUCAUAAUUAAAGAUAUGAAAACAUGAAAGUUAAAUUAUUGGGUAAUAAUGUUCCUCCUAUCUUUUUUUUAUCUUGAAAAAUAAAAAAAUUGAGAUAAUGCAUUAGUUAAGAUGAAAUAAUCACAUAUUGAUAUCCAGCCAAUUCUUCUCUCAAGUGAUAGGAAGCUUUUUAUGUUAAACUACUUAUGAUAGACUUUAAUGAUCUAUAAUUAGAGAAAGAACUGUUAUAUCAUUUGGAUAUGCAAGAAACAAGUUACCUUUGGGGCUAUAGAGGCCCUUGUCCUCUUCUCAAAAGAAGGAAGAAUAAGCAUUUUGAUGAUGAUGUUGAGAUUGUAGAAAUGAUGAAGGUGAAAAAGUUAUUCUAAGCUAUGUUUAGCAAAAUGAAAUGAACCCAAAUAAUAAAACAGUUACAACAUUGAAUCUCUUUGGUUAAAAAAAAAAAAAAAAAAAAAGAAUGCUAAUAUCCUUCAGAAGUUCUUAAACCAGAACCUAAAAAAAAAAGAAAACUUUUAAAAAAUCAGUAAUAGUUUAUGAUCUUGAAGGGCUUCAAAGUAUUUGAUGAAGAUGUCUCUUGAACUUAUCUAUAGGCCUUCUUGUGUAUUUAAAAGCUAAGUUCUCUUGUAUUAAUUUUUUUCCCCCUGAAUUCUGUAGUAUACCUUUGUCAGUAAAAAACCUAAUAUUUCAGAUUUGGAUAA